CCUACAGUGGUUUUGGGGCAGCAAUUAUUUAUUUUGGGCUAAUGAAUUCAGGAGCAUGAGCUGCUUGGGUGGAGAGAAAGCAAAUGCAAAAUCCCUCCAAAUUCAUGUUGUUACGCACUGGAGGAGAGCCAUGGGGACAACCACCAGAAUGGGUGAAGUGACAACUUGGUUUCAGAGCUAAAAUGAGAGGCUGUAAAGGACAGGUGGCUGCAGCCAGUCUGUCCCUGUCUGAGGGGUGGAUGUUGCUGAAGCUGCUCUCAUUGUGCAGAGUGAGGAGAGCCAUGAGCCUGUGCCAGAGGAACGGCUGGGAAAAAUCAGUCAAGAAAGAAAUUACAAGCAAAAAGGCAACAAAAUGAGUGGGCUCCUGGCCAGGCUCUCUAAGGCAGAUGGCACUGUUGGUUGCAACAGCUGCAACUGAAAAUCCAGGAGACAACAGGGGGAGCUGACAAAUGUUUAAAGAUUGCUACCAGCUGUUGAGCCCAAAUGAUAUCUCCUUCUCUACAAAGGAGAGAAAGCUUUGCACUGUGACUCCUUUACCUUCUCUUCAUCACUUCAUGGUAAAGAUGCUAUUUAGACACUGCUAGAAGGAUCAAGCUCCUGAAUGCCAGCAGUGUGUUAUCCUGCAGCAAGAUCCUUAAGCCCUGAUGGAUUUGCAGCCUCCUCUCAAUUUCUUUUCCAAAGCAGCUAAAGGUGAUGACAAAACAUGUCAUUGAAUUCAUCCAUGUGAAUCCUAAUAAGUACGUGAGAGCACAAAGGGAUAUCAGAGGACAGAGCUGGUCACUGGCAAGAGUGAGAUGCAUCAUAUCCCUGAGGACUGCAGUAAUAGUAAUAGAGAGGGAAACAGACAAAAACAUAAUGAGAUAAGGAUGUUGCAGUCUCUGUGCUCCUGCACAGAAAGAGCUGGGAAAGCAGCAUAGGGGAUGAAUCCAUUGCAAAAAACAACAACAACAAACUGAAAAAGCAAGCAGAAGAGCAAGGGCAGAAAACCUCUGAUCAGAGUUUGUAUUUCAGUUCUGCUCUAUAUCCAAGCUGACAGAUACAUCUUUUUCUUGUUGUCUGUUCCUUCCAAAUAUCCCCGUGGGACAGCCGAUGUUGCAGCAGGGUUAAGCCAACUUCCUACAGACUGUUAAUAUACAGUGGACCUAAAGAAGGGAAAGAUUUCACCUUCUGGCCUGAAACGGGCAACAGCUCUCCCCUGUUAGUGCCUCUGCAGAUAAGGUGGCAAGCUGUGUUUGGGUGUAAAUAGGUGGCUCAGACUGAUUAUGUGCAUUUAUAUUUUGUCUUCAAGACAGACCCUUCCUUCAUGCUUGGCAGGGACAGUGGCAAUGACAACAGUCAUGACAGUGUCAGUAGCAACAGCUUUGUGGAAGUGAACCUCCAUCCAGUAUCACCUCAGGCUUCUCGGCUGUGUUUUGCAGUCACAAAAUUGAAUGUGAGAGGACGCAGGUAAUGGCUUUCCAUCAUUGUAUCUUCCUGGGGCUGCUCUGUGUCCAUGGGCACUGUGAGCCAGGCAGUCUGCUGCUCUCCUCUGCUCCUGAGUGCUUGGAGCUGGCUCACAGGGAUGAACAGUCCAAACAACCUCAGGUGCCUUUGGAUGAAACCAACUGUGACUGCCUCUUUCUAUCUAUUAUUUGACAGCCUGAAGUUUUGCCAGAAGCCAUAAAGAAAUUAUUUGUCUAAAGCCAGUGGCUUGAAGUUUGGCUUUUAAAUCUGCAUUUAGCUACCUCCUUAAAUACCCUGAUAUUAAAAAAAGAUGCUCACACCGAAACUCAAUACUUAUGAAAGUUAUAUUUUUCCCAACCACAUCUACACAGCACUUACCACAGUGGAGCCUGAGUUUGGGACUAAAAAAAUGCUCUAGGUGUAGGUAUAGAUUGUAAUGAAGUACUAAAUGACUGCAGACAAGGCUGGAGCUAAAACCUCACUUAUUGCUGGCAGAACAGAAAUCAUAUUCAUACCUCAGGAGCAGAAAACGUCAAAGAUCUUUUGGAGCUUUACCUUACAUCUAGGUAGACUGGUGGAAAACUAAACAAUGUGCUGACUCAGAGGAAUCAGAAUCAUAUCCACAAAAAAAUCCAUUAUCACAGACAUUGACUGUCUAAGUAGAAGUAUCUGGCAGAGAAAUGCAAUAGGAUUUCCCAAAGGGAGAGCUGUGAGAAAGGAGCACUGGGGAGAGCCUCAGGUCCUGGGAACUUGAGGGUCCUUUCAGCUGC
Anas platyrhynchos (mallard) is the source of this 2213-nucleotide long non-coding RNA. RefSeq lists it as uncharacterized. The record is from RefSeq and is a predicted model, not a curated record. Lineage: Eukaryota; Metazoa; Chordata; Aves; Anseriformes; Anatidae.